UACGGGGGGGGCAAGCGUUGUUCGGAAUUACUGGGCGUAAAGGGCCAGUAGGCGGCCAACUAAGUCGGAUGUGAAAUCCCCAGGCUCAACUUGGGAACUGCAUCCGAUACUGGAUGGCUUGAAUUCGGGAGAGGGAUGCAGAAUUCCAGGUGUAGCGGUGAAAUGCGUAGAUAUCGGGAGGAACACCAAUGGCGAAAGCAGGUACCUGGACUAUUACUGACACUCAGCUGCGAAAGCUAGGGGAGCAAACAGG
RNAcentral lists this ribosomal RNA (253 nucleotides) under uncultured bacterium. Its description in RNAcentral is "partial 16S ribosomal RNA". It matches the Rfam family "Bacterial small subunit ribosomal RNA", at positions 524 to 776 of the family's 1533-position model. The record is from RNAcentral.